This 741-nucleotide ribosomal RNA is filed under the name Rothia mucilaginosa. Its description in RNAcentral is "bacterial SSU rRNA". It matches the Rfam family "Bacterial small subunit ribosomal RNA", at positions 28 to 776 of the family's 1533-position model. Lineage: Bacteria; Bacillati; Actinomycetota; Actinomycetes; Micrococcales; Micrococcaceae. The record is from RNAcentral.
GACGAACGCGGCGGGCGUGCUUAACACAUGCAAGUCGAACGAUGAAGCCUAGCUUGCUAGGUGGAUUAGUGGCGAACGGGUGAGUAAUACGUGAGUAACCUACCUUUAACUCUGGGAUAAGCCUGGGAAACUGGGUCUAAUACCGGAUACGACCAAUCUCCGCAUGGGGUGUUGGUGGAAAGCGUUAUGUAGUGGUUAUAGAUGGGCUCACGGCCUAUCAGCUUGUUGGUGAGGUAACGGCUCACCAAGGCGACGACGGGUAGCCGGCCUGAGAGGGUGACCGGCCACACUGGGACUGAGACACGGCCCAGACUCCUACGGGAGGCAGCAGUGGGGAAUAUUGCACAAUGGGCGCAAGCCUGAUGCAGCGACGCCGCGUGAGGGAUGACGGUCUUCGGGUUGUAAACCUCUGUUAGCAGGGAAGAAGAGAGAUUGACGGUACCUGCAGAGAAAGCGCCGGCUAACUACGUGCCAGCAGCCGCGGUAAUACGUAGGGCGCGAGCGUUGUCCGGAAUUAUUGGGCGUAAAGAGCUUGUAGGCGGUUUGUCGCGUCUGCUGUGAAAGGCCGGGGCUUAACUCCGUGUAUUGCAGUGGGUACGGGCAGACUAGAGUGCAGUAGGGGAGACUGGAAUUCCUGGUGUAGCGGUGGAAUGCGCAGAUAUCAGGAGGAACACCGAUGGCGAAGGCAGGUCUCUGGGCUGUAACUGACGCUGAGAAGCGAAAGCAUGGGGAGCGAACAGG